CCGUCCAUGUGUGUUCAGUUAUGUUUGCUGAGCUGCCGCUAUUGAACAAUCGCUUGCUUUGUGUUUAACGUGCGGCAGGAACUGUUCCAAGGACUUCAUAGAGAUAAGCUCAGCGCAUCCCCCAUGAAUCUUCAAGACACCAAUUCUCCUGCUGUGGAGACUGAAGCAGAGGACUGGGAACUCACCUGAGAUCCCACCACAGGUGGAGCAGCAAAGCCAGAGAGCAAGACCCAGGGUCGAGAUUCUGUUUGGUGAGUGACUGAACAUGGUGGCAUUGGAAAAGGUUGCUGAGUUUGGAGCCUGAGAACUUGGAUCUCUGCUGCUGGAAAGGAAAAUGUUUGGACAUGCUCAUCUGCAUUCAGAUGUGUUCUCUCCCACUGUCUGCUGAGGAGCAAUGGGAAGACUCACAAGCUAUAGUGAGAGACGGUGACGGUGACAGUGACGACCAUAACAACAACCACAGUGGUGCUGACAGAGACUGCGAGGAUGCUGAUGAUGGCAAUGAUUCUGUAGACUAAUGCGGUCCCCUUGCCUCGUUCACCCUGACUGAUCAAAUGCAACGUUUUAUCCACCAGAUUCAGAAAAGACGCUCUGACCUUGACCUCAGCGGAGUGACAGCCACAGUGUUGCUUAUUAAGCGCUCACUGUAUGCAUGGUCUGGGCUAGGCUCCUUCCAUUCUGACUCCAGUGGUAGGAGACAAAUGCUCUUUGUACACAUACUUUACAGUUUGCAAAGGUUGAGUUACUAAGAGGAAUGAAUUGUGGGCCGGAGUUUAGAAACGGAGUGGAAGAGACUCAGGCUCCAGGAAUGAUGGGUAACAGCAGUGCCACCUCUGUCACCAGAAAUGGGGAGCUGGGACUACACAUUGUCUUAGGCGUUGGGCAGGAUGGGGCAAACCCCUUUGAACUAUGCCUGUGAGGAGCAUUUGUGGGUACCCGGCCUGUGGCACCUGAUUUAGCUGCUAGAGAAUGAAGAGGGACGGAGGCUUGAGAGGUACUGUGUCUGCGUGUCCCCUGGGGAAUGUGGCAGCCUUUGCAUUUUUGUGGCAUGAAGCGGAAAUUUGAGAUAAUAAAGAAAAGGGGGAAAGAGAGACAGAAAUAAGAAAGAAAAAGCAAGGAAACAAUAAACUGUUAGCAUCUCAUAGGCGCCAGGCUGGGCGAGGAAACCGCUAAUGAGCCCCAGCUUCUAAUUCAAACCAGACAGAUAAAAGCCACGUGGUCCUGGUCCCAGUGAGCAUGGAGUGCAUCCCCACCCCCCAAAGCCCAGGCUGGGGUGCUCUGCCCAGAGAAGAGCAACCUCAGCUGCUGUCUGCCUAGCCCCCCAGCAAGCCUGAGUGAUGACGCCCCAGUCGGCCUGCUCUGGAGAUCUAUAAAGACAUGAACUUCAGCUCACUUCCUCUAAAUGCAUAUUAAUUUGUUUAACCAACUUCCUUGUAUUUUGACUAUUAGGCCAGGAGUUCACCCUUCCAAGUACUCUGACUUCCUUGUAAAAAUUUCAGAAGCAGGAGCCUGGGCAAACUACAGUUGGGAGUCCAGGAGUGGAACCCAGCGUCAUCUGCACCCAACAGACAGAGAAUUAACCUCUGUGUGCCUGGCUUAGUUUCCUCAGUGCUCCCCAACUCAUCCCUAGCGACAGCCUGCCUAUUAGUCUCAUAACUAACACACAGCAGCUCUCUCUCUCUCUCUCUCUCUCUCUCUCUCUCUCUCUCUCUCUGUGUGUGUGUGUGUGUGUGUGUGUGUGUGUGUCUGACUCUGUACCACCCCCACCUGCGCAUCCAUCCAUGAGUAUCAAGGCCAACUCCACAUCUUGGUUGUGGGGCAUCACACCGCCAUGAGCAUGGGGAGCAGGAUUUCCUCCACAUUGAGAUCUCAUGUUUCCGAAUAAAUACCCAGAGAGGGAUUCCUGUACCAGAAGCUGGCUCCAUUUUAAUGUUCUGAAGCACCUCAAUGUUGCUCACCACCUAGGUGCUCAUCUGCAUUCCCAGAUGUUCCUCCUCCACGUCCUUGCUACUGUGGACUCUAACAACCCCGUUCCUGCAGGUACAUCCAAAGGAGAGGAAGUCAGCCUGACCCUCCCGUGUUCCCUGUACCUCUAGCCACAGUAGCUCAGAUCCAGACUCAACCUAGGGAAUGACUGGAUAGAGAAAAUGUAGUAUCAUUAUAACCAUUGUGCUGGCUAACACUGAUAUCAACAGGACAGGAUCCCCUAGGAGAUACAGCCCUGGGCCUGGCUGUGAGGGAAUCUCUAGACGAGGCUAACUGAAGUGGCAAAGACCCACCCUGAAUGUGUACAGCAGCAGCAUCCCCAUGGGCUGG
Myodes glareolus (Bank vole) is the source of this 2316-nucleotide long non-coding RNA. RefSeq lists it as uncharacterized. NCBI's taxonomy places the organism in Eukaryota, Metazoa, Chordata, Mammalia, Rodentia, Cricetidae. The record is from RefSeq and is a predicted model, not a curated record.